GAUGAAGAACGCAGCGAAAUGCGAUAAGUAAUGCGAAUUGCAGAAUUCAGUGAAUCAUCGAAUCUUUGAGCGCACAUUGCGCCCGCUAGUAUUCUGGCGGGCAUGCCUGUCUGAGCGUCAUUUCAACCCUCGCCCCCGGCUUUUGCUGGGAGCGGUGUUGGGGAUCGGCCGCCCGUCACUGGGAGGCCGGCCCCGAAAUAGAGUGGCGACCACGCCGUGUGCUCCUCUGCGUAGUAGUAAAUCACCUCGCAGGCGGACAGCGGUGCGGCCUGCCGUAAAACCCCCAACUCUUUCUGGUUGACCUCAGAUCAGGUAGGAAUACCCGCUGAACUUAAGCAUAUCAAUAAGCGGAGGA
Molecule: unclassified non-coding RNA, 355 nt
Filed under: soil metagenome
Description: partial contains 5.8S ribosomal RNA, internal transcribed spacer 2, and large subunit ribosomal RNA
Rfam family: 5.8S ribosomal RNA (bases 1-120)
Source: RNAcentral